Long non-coding RNA from Triticum aestivum (bread wheat), 3372 nucleotides. RefSeq lists it as uncharacterized. NCBI's taxonomy places the organism in Eukaryota, Viridiplantae, Streptophyta, Magnoliopsida, Poales, Poaceae. The transcript is spliced from 5 exons. The record is from RefSeq and is a predicted model, not a curated record.
CUCGGCCGCUUACCUUUCACAUCCACGGUGCAGGACUACGCCGACCGCUUCCAGGCCCUGGCGUGCCACGCGCCGGGCGUCUCCGCCACUCAGCGCGCCGAGUUAUUUGUGGGCGGUCUACCGGACCAUAUCCGCAUGGACGUGGAGCUUCGGGGACCCCAGGAUCUCCAGUCGGCCAUGUAUUACGCCCGCGCGUUCGAGUGCCGCGCGGUGGCCAUCCAGCAGGAAUCACCGUCCCAGACUACUGGGUCGCUACCCGGACCGGAUUCCGCGCAGGGUCGGCCUGUGCAGGCUUCUGCGGCACCCCUCGCCGCGACCGCGGGGCGCCCGUUCCGCCGGCUCACCCCAGCUGAGAUACUCGAGCGUCGCCGCCAAGGGUUGUGCUUGAACUGCGACAAACCCUACAAGCCCGGCCACGCCUGCCCGCGACUCUUCUACCUGGAGGUGGCAGACUACAUUCCGGAGGACGUCGUCGCCGCUGACCUGGCCGCCCCAGAUGUCGAGAAGGUGUUUGACGCUGGUUGAUUACCUCGAAGAGUUCAAGCAAGCGCUUCCCCACCUUGCAGCUCGAGGACGAGCUGUUUGUGCAGGCGGGGAGAAGUGUUAUGGCCGGCCGGCUUAGGCCCGCAAGUUAUCUUAGUCUUUAUUUUCAGAUUAGGCAAGUUAUCUUAGGCAAGUUAUCUUAGGUUGAUUCUUCUACAAGUUAUCUAGGAUAUAAAUAUAGGUUGUAAGACUCUUUUUGAAGGCAAGCAAUAAGAAGAAUAUUAUCUCCUAUUGCCCGGCUCCCUGAGGAGCCGGAACCCUAGCCGCCAACAGCCCUAGCCGCCGCCCUUCUCCUAGCCGCGACGGUGCCCUGCCGCCGGCGCGCCCGAUCCUCGCCACGUCUCCCUCCAUCCUUCCCUUACCGCCUACGCCCUAGACCUGGUAGAGUACUUGAUCCUACCAUACUCAUUGACAACCUUCUUCUCCAUGCGACAUCUGUGGAUUCUACUGCUCAAACAGGCCAUGCAGGUGCAGGUGAUUGGCAAGAGGAGAUCUAUCAAAUGAUUAAGAGGUUAAAGGACCAAUACUUUGCAGAACUCAGUGAAUUAUUCAAUAAGAUGUGUGUGAAACUACAGCAUGUUGACAGCAUUAUUCCACCUCAAAUAUCAUCUGAGCAGUAUGAUAAAAUGAAGAGCUUUAAAAUAAUGUUGGAGCGCAUAUUACAAAUGCUGCAAAUUGGCAAAAGUAGUGUCCAACCUUCUAUGAGGGACAACGUUCCUCGAUAUGAGAAACAGAUUAUCAGUAUCUUGAAUUCACAAAGGAAGCCAGUGCAGCCACAAAUACAACAACAGUUCCAACCACCUGCAGAUUAAGAGCCUGAAGGAUCAAUACUUUGCAGAACUCAGUGAACUGUUCAAUAAAUUAUCUGUGAAGCUACAGCAUGUUGACAACAUAAUACCACCUCAAAAUCCUUCUGAAAAGUAUGACAGAAUGAAGAGCUUUAAAAUAAUGUUGGACUGUAUAUUACAAAUGCUGCUAAUUAGAAAGAGUACUAUCCAACCUGCUAUGUGGGACAAAGUUCCUCAAUACGAGAAACAAAUUAUCAGCAUCUUGAGUUCACAAAGGAAGUAGUGCAGAAAAAAAAGGAAGCUAGUGCAGUCACAAAUACAGCAACAGUUCCAGCCACCUUCAGGACAAGCUCCUAAUUCUAGCAUUUUGCAGCAACAACAGCCUUCCCAAAAUUUGCAGCAGCAUGAUACUCAUACUAAUACUCAAGCAAGUUUGUCAAGUAUGAGCACCCAAUUACAGUCCUCUAGUGCAGAUGGCAUCCAGCAUGUACCUGCGCCUCCAACAAGUAACUUCGGUGGCCCCAUGCAGCCAAACGAUGCAAACAUAUAGCAUCAGGUUGGUUCUAAUUUGUAGGCAAUUUCAAUUCUUUGCAGCAUGGUUCGUUGAGUGGUGCAUUACGAUAGGGAAGCACUGGGUCGAUGCAGGGAACAAUGAAUACAUAACUGCAGACAAGUAGUGGCAUGUUAUAUCACAACCCAAUGGGUACGCCAACCUAGUGGUAACUCCGUGUAAGCAAAUGCAAGUUCAUUACAGCAGCUGAAGCAGCAACAGCAGGAUCAUCAUAUGAUGCAGUGUCAGCAAAUAAAGCGUCAGAUGUUUCAACAGUAUCAGCAAAAGCAACAAAUGCUUCAACAGCAGCUCCCAAUACAGCAACAAUUAUAGAAACAACAAGUACAGAUGCAGCUUCCACAGUUUCAUGCUGGAGAUGAUGUUAAUGAGUUAAAGGUUAGGCAAGGAACUGCAAUGAAACCUGGAGUUUAUCAACAACACUUUGGCCAAUGCAGUAAUUAUUAUCAUCAUCAGAGUUGAAACAGAGUGGUGUUUUCCCAAUUUUGUCACCACAAAACUUCCAAGCAUCAUCCCCACAAAUUUCGCAGCAUUCUCCUCAUGUAGAUCAGCACAAUCCGUUGCCAUCUCAAGUAAAGACUGGGACACCAUUGCAUUCAGCUAACUCACCAUUUCUUCCAUCGCCAUCCCAAUCUGUCGCCCUCUCUCCCAUGCAAGUGGAUUCAGACAAACCACACUCCAAUAUACCAUCACUUACUAAUACUGGGCAUGCUGGACAUCAGAAAACAUCGCUAGCGCCCCAGACACAAAACCCCAUUAAGAUCAACCUCCUUGGAAGCAAAAGUUGUGGUUGAUUCAGGCAGACUUCUGCCACUGCAACAACCAUGCACAAAUGGUUCUGCCGGUGGAUGCACUUUCGGCUGUUCCAAGUGCUACUACUAUACGAUGCAAAAACAAUUCUUUAACUGCAUGGCGCACGCACACUCAUGAGUAUCCUUGGAUCCUGAUGUAACUAUCAAGUCCCUCGCCUUGUGAUAUCCUUCUGGUCGCUCCUUGAACCAAAAUCGCUGCAAUGAGAAACCAACCAGGCCAAUCCUUUUCUGCCUUAACAUAUAUGAAAUUAUUGAGUGUUUGCUUUGCAAAGAUAAAGAUGCUGCUCGUCCGGCUUGCUUGAAUUCUUUUUUGCUUGCUGUUGGAGCAUGGGCACAGUUGGAACAGGGUGGAGGCAACUCGGCACCAGAUCAUGGAUGUGGAGGGAGGCGGUGAUUGACAGUUGCAAAAGGUGGGGAGGGUGGACGCUGGCGGCGCGGAUGGAGGAUCAAGGCUAUCACCAGGAACUACCAAUUACAGACUGGUGCCAGGCCUUGAAGCACACAGCAUGCUUUCUAAAGGGGGCACCCUAGGAAUCAGACUCCUACCAAACCGGUCGCUAGCGAUUUGGUGCAUUCUAGUCGUCUGAUCUUUUGGCUAGAUUCCUUUGUUAAAUACCUGAUUUGUUGAUAACUUGCGUCCGUGAAAUCUGCUGCUUCCUGA